This 405-nucleotide ribosomal RNA is filed under the name uncultured soil bacterium. RNAcentral's name for it is "bacterial SSU rRNA". It matches the Rfam family "Bacterial small subunit ribosomal RNA", at positions 26 to 430 of the family's 1533-position model. The record is from RNAcentral.
AGAUUGAACGCUGGCGGCAUGCCUUACACAUGCAAGUCGAACGGCAGCACGGGAGCAAUCCUGGUGGCGAGUGGCGAACGGGUGAGUAAUACAUCGGAACGUGCCCAAUCGUGGGGGAUAACGCAGCGAAAGCUGUGCUAAUACCGCAUAAGAUCUACGGAUGAAAGCAGGGGAUCGCAAGACCUUGCGCGAAUGGAGCGGCCGAUGGGCAGAUUAGGUAGUUGGUGAGGUAAAGGCUCACCAAGCCUUCGAUCUGUAGCUGGUCUGAGAGGACGACCAGCCACACUGGGACUGAGACACGGCCCAGACUCCUACGGGAGGCAGCAGUGGGGAAUUUUGGACAAGUGGGCGAAAGCCUGAUCCAGCCAUGCCGCGUGCAGGAUGAACGGCCGUUCGGUUGUAAAC